UGGGGAAUCUUGCGCAAUGGGCGAAAGCCUGACGCAGCGACGCCGCGUGAGCGAUGAAGGCCCUCGGGUCGUAAAGCUCUGUGGGGAGGAAAGAAUAAGGACAGGCGAAUACCCUGUUUGAUGACGGUACCUCCUUAGCAAGCACCGGCUAACUCUGUGCCAGCAGCCGCGGUAAUACAGAGGGUGCAAACGUUGUUCGGAAUCACUGGGCGUAAAGCGGGUGUAGGCGGCUUGGUAAGUCGGGUGUGAA
RNAcentral lists this ribosomal RNA (250 nucleotides) under uncultured bacterium. Its description in RNAcentral is "partial 16S ribosomal RNA". It matches the Rfam family "Bacterial small subunit ribosomal RNA", at positions 355 to 598 of the family's 1533-position model. The record is from RNAcentral.